UCUUUGUGUUUAUAUAUAAAGUCUUCCCUGCUCACUGAGUAUUAAAGAGCCGCAGUAUUUUGACUGUGCAAAGGUAGCAUAAUAAUUAGCCUUUUAAUUGAGGGCUGGAAUGAAUGGGACGACGAAGAAUAAGCUGUUUCUUUUGUAAAAUUAAAAUUUUAUUUUUGAGUUAAAAAGCUUAAAUAAAAUUAGGGGACGAGAAGACCCUAUAGAUUUUUAUAUUAAUUUUUUAAAGUAAUAUAGUUUGUAUAAAAUUUUAGAGUAAAAGUAAUUAACUGGGGCGGUUUAAAAAUAAGUUUAACUUUUUAAUAAAAAAUUAUUGAUAAAUAAAUUUAAGAUCCAAGAAUUUUGAUAACAAGAUUAAAUUACCUUAGGGAUAACAGCAUAAUUUUAUUGGAAAGUUCAUAUAGAAAAUAAAGCUUGUGACCUCGAUGUUGAAUUAAAGUUUUACUUAUAAGUAGAAAGAUAAGUUAUUAGUCUGUUCGACUAUUAAAAUUU
This 498-nucleotide ribosomal RNA is filed under the name Cerobasis alpha. Its description in RNAcentral is "partial 16S ribosomal RNA". Lineage: Eukaryota; Metazoa; Arthropoda; Insecta; Psocodea; Trogiidae. The record is from RNAcentral.